UGAAACAAUCAUACCUAAUUAUUGAGAAAAAACUUUAAGCAUUUAUUAUUUCACAAAAUGAGAAGUAUUUAACGAUAUCAAACAAUCAUAUCAUUAAAUAAUUGAUACAAGUCAUUAAGUAAUUCAUAUAAUUAAUAAAGUAAUAAUAAUAAUUAUCAGAGAGAAAAUUAACAAGAAGGUGAAAAUUAUAAAUUUUACCUAUGUAUAAAUAUUAAUAUUUUGAUUACUUUUAAGGUUAAGUUUUAUCGAAAUCAUAUUGGUCAUAAAUCUGAAGAAGAUAGCUUAUUCUAAAGUCACAUGUAUUUGUGAUACCUAUUAAUAGUUCAAAUGUUUUUUUUUAGGGUAGUAGGUAGCAAUUUUCACGCCAGACGUAAAUACUUAUAUUUUGAAUUUUCCCAUAAUAAUAUGGUUGUAAUACAUACAGUUUUAGUAAAUAUCUAAUCAAUAUUUUUAAUAUUCAUUUUAGCAGUUACCAACGUAUUUACCUAUUAUGAUAGCCGAAAGUCAGAAUCAGAGGAGAAUAUAAGUUAGUAUGUUCUUCAUUAUUCUAUGAAGAUCAAAGAUUAUGUGUUUAAAGCUUUAUGUUUAUAUAGGUACAAUGGUGCAUGUACAGAACAAAUAUUAUAAUUUUAUCUGACAAUUUUUGUAUUUUAUAUUUGGUACUAGAUACAAGUCAAAUAACUCUACAGUUGAUUGGAUAACAUUUUGAUAGUAGCUUACAAAACGGCCAAGACAUUAAAUUUGAUGCAAGACAAACAAUCAGACCUAUAUUCGAUUCAGAUUUAUAAAAUCAUCAAGGUAAACAUUGAAAUAGGUUAAUAUAACCUUUACAAAAAGGAAAUUGAUUUCAAUUAUUCAAUUUACCAAGAUA
Long non-coding RNA from Myzus persicae (green peach aphid), 871 nucleotides. RefSeq lists it as uncharacterized. NCBI's taxonomy places the organism in Eukaryota, Metazoa, Arthropoda, Insecta, Hemiptera, Aphididae. The transcript is spliced from 2 exons. The record is from RefSeq and is a predicted model, not a curated record.